ACUUGGCUUCAUGAAUCACAACCACACAUCCAUCCACCGUUGCAUCAUAUCAUAUUAAAAUUAAUGAGACAUAUUAUUGAACCUGAAAAAUACUUUUGAUUCAAACCUUUUUUGCUUGCUCUAAAAAGUCCACUCCUCUGCUUCAUAAGAAAAUGUCACUCUCCAUUGUUUGCUGAAUAAUGACUUCGGCCACUCUUUCUUCAGGCAAAUGGGAAGGGCUUCUCUGAAUUCUCUGGCCUUCGCAACUCAUCAAUAGGUUACCUUUCCUUUUCUUCUAGAAAAAGUUCUGAGGACUUCCAUUCAGUCAUUGCCUUCCAGACUUCAGCAUUUGAAGGUUGGAGGCAGAGAAGGAAACACAAAAGGCGUAGUAGAAGCAAAACUAAAGGUAGCCAUAAACGGAUUUGGGAGGAUUGGAAGAAACUUCUUGAGAUGCUGGAACGGUCGCAAAGACUCUCCUUUACACAUCAUUGCGAUCAACGACACUACUGGAGGUGUCAAACAAGCCUCUCAAGCCUCACUUUCUCAAGUAUGAUUCCACCCUUGGAAUCUUUGAUGCUGAUGUCAAGCCUGUUGGUGACAAUGGAAAGGUCAUCAGGGUUGUCUCUGACCGCAACCCUAUCAACCUUCCUUGGAAGGACUUGGAAAUCGACUUUUGAUUGAAGGAACUGGAGUAUUUGUGGACAGAGACGGUGCAGGAAAGCACAUUCAAGCCGGAGCAAAGAAGAUUUUGAUCACAGCUCCUGGCAAGGGAGAUAUUCCUACCUACGUGGUUGGUGUCAAUGCUGGUAUUUACGACCCAGAUGAACCCAUCAUCAGCAAUGCUUCUAGUACCCUUCGUCAAGGUCCUUGAUCAGAAAUUCGAUCGUUUGCACAUUCUUGAUCACAUUCGUCCUAAGCUUCAAGCAGUGGUGAGUGGUAAAUGGAGUCCUCCACUGUUUCUGGUUUAUAAUUUCCCCCACAUUGUUGCUUUGAUUGAAGAAAUCUCUAUCCCUGUUGUGCACAAUUGCGAUAAACUAGUUUGGAAAGAGUCCAUCUCUGGGGACCUCUCCCUAAAGGAUUCUUAUCUUUUUAUGUUCCCUAGUUUUGUGGUUAUAAAAUGGUGAAAGUUGAUAUGGAACAAAUGCAUUCCCCCUGAGAAAGAGAGGGAUCAUUGUUGUUUCUGUUUGUAAUAAUUGUGGAAAUCAAUGAGACAAUUGAGCAUUUGUUUCUUCA
Glycine soja is the source of this 1212-nucleotide long non-coding RNA. RefSeq lists it as uncharacterized. The record is from RefSeq and is a predicted model, not a curated record. NCBI's taxonomy places the organism in Eukaryota, Viridiplantae, Streptophyta, Magnoliopsida, Fabales, Fabaceae. The transcript is spliced from 5 exons.